GCGCUUGUUUCACUUCCGGUCUGGGAAGUAGUUUCGCAGGCGCUGAACUAUUAACCGGUGCCAUUUGGCUGGAACUGAAUCCGGUAUUGUUGGGAAUGUUAUGGUCCCGGUUUGAGGAAGAUGUGCUCCUACCUUCGUCCAACCUCCGAAGCUUUGUAGGACGACUACUUGGCUCCCUAGGAUCAUGUCCUGAGUGAUGUACAAAUGAUCGUUGAACUUGCUGGUGUAAGAACGGCAAAUCAGCCGUCUGAUUCGGUGGUCUAACAGGAUGGACAGGAGGAAGUAGCGG
Molecule: long non-coding RNA, 289 nt
Filed under: Linum usitatissimum (flax)
Lineage: Eukaryota; Viridiplantae; Streptophyta; Magnoliopsida; Malpighiales; Linaceae
Description: long non-coding RNA (LUSI_LNC000883)
Source: RNAcentral